This 482-nucleotide ribosomal RNA is filed under the name uncultured bacterium. Its description in RNAcentral is "partial 16S ribosomal RNA". It matches the Rfam family "Bacterial small subunit ribosomal RNA", at positions 30 to 507 of the family's 1533-position model. The record is from RNAcentral.
AUUGAACGCUGGCGGCAUGCCUUACACAUGCAAGUCGAACGGUAACGGGCCUUCGGGUGCCGACGAGUGGCGCACGGGUGCGUAAUACAUCGGAACGUGCCCGAUCGUGGGGGAUAACGAGGCGAAAGCUUUGCUAAUACCUCAUACGAUCUACGGAUGAAAGCAGGGGACCGCAAGGCCUUGCGCGGACGGAGCGGCCGCUGGCAGAUUAGGUAGUUGGUGGGAUAAAAGCUUACCAAGCCGACGAUCUGUAGCUGGUCUGAGAGGAUGAUCAGCCACACUGGGACUGAGACACGGCCCAGACUCCUACGGGAGGCAGCAGUGGGGAAUUUUGGACAAUGGGCGCAAGCCUGAUCCAGCCAUGCCGCGUGCAGGAUGAAGGCCUUCGGGUUGUAAACUGCUUUUGUACGGAACGAAAAGCCUUCUUUUAAUACAGGAGGGUCAUGACGGUACCGGAAGAAUAAGCACCGGCUAACUACGUG